AUAAUCUACUCGAUUGUUUGGGUUAUUGGAUAACCGUGGGAAAUCUAGAGCUAAUACAUGUAUGUUGUGGUAUGUGGGUAAAACCGUAUAUCAUUUGCAUUUAUUAGAGAACACCAACCGUAUGAGUAAAAUCUUGCGUGGUGAAUCUAGAUAACUUUGCAGAUCGUAUGGCCUAGAGCCGGCGACAUUUCGAUUGAGUUUCUGCCCUAUCACUUAGAUGCAAGUGUGUUGUACUUGCAUGAGGACGACGGGUAACGGAGGAUAAGGGUUCGAUCCCGGAGAGGGAGCCUGAGAAACGGCUACCACAUCCAAGGAAGGCAGCAGGCGCGAAAAUUACCCAAUCCAGACAAUGGGAGGUGGUGACGAGAAGUACCAGAUGGCGUCCAAUUGGUCGCCAGUUUGGAAUGGAAUCAAUUUAAGCAAUUGAAUUGAGUAUCAACUGGAGGGCAAGUCUGGUGCCAGCAGCCGCGGUAAUUCCAGCUCCAGUAGCGUAUCUCAAAGUUGCUGCGCUUAAAACGCUCGUAGUUGGAUCACUAACCAUGUUUUGGUGUAUUGCAAUACAGUUUACCGUAAGUCUGUAUCAAUGCUGUAUGAUCUCAUACAGUAUCUGUGCACGACUGGUAUAGUAUUGACAAUAAUCAAACAAUGGUAAUUGCACGUGAGGAUGACUUUUGACCUUAAAUGAGUUUGGAGUCGUGUCUCACGGGGUGUGCCUUGAGUAAAUCAGUGUGCUCAAAGCAGGCGAAAUGCCUGAAUGUUGAUAGCAUGGAACGAACAAUCGUGUACGGUGUGUGCUGGUGACAAUUGUAGUGUAUCACUUUCAAUUGCAGUACACGACACCGACCACCAAUAUCGGAAGUUGGUUCCGUAUUGGGGUACUGAUUAAGAGGAGCGGUUGGGGGCAUUGGUAUUUGGCAGCGAGAGGUGAAAUUCUUAGACCUGCCAAGGACUAACAAAUGCGAAGGCAUCUGUCCAGACCGUAUCCAUUAAUCAAGAACGAUAGUGAGAGGUUCGAAGACGAUCAGAUACCGUCCUAGUUCUCACUGUAAACUAUGCCGACCCGGGAUCAGUUUGUGAGUUUAAAAUGCUCGGGAUUGGUCCCCCUGGGAAACCUAAAGUUUUUCGGUUGCGGGGGGAGUAUGGUCGCAAGGCUGAAACUUAAAGGAAUUGACGGAAGGGCACCACCAGGGGUGGAGCCUGCGGCUUAAUUUGACUCAACACGGGAAAACUUACCUGGUCCGGACACCAAGAGGAUAAUCAGACCGAGAGAUCUUAUUUGAUAUGGUGAUAAGUGGUGCAUGGCCGUUCUUAGUUCGUGAAGUGAUUUGUCAGGUCUUCCGGUAACGGACGAGAUCACGGUCCCCAUUUGACGAACUGUAGCAAGUGUGAACAGACUGUAUUUUUGGAAACAAAGAUGCAGUAGAUGUUCGCAUUAUAGGCAGUGUAUAUUGAUGUUUGAGUUGGACUGUUGCAAUGGCCUUAAACUGUUGUAGCGGUCAAAUUUGUACGGAUUGUACAUUCCCUACAGUUAUUCAGUAUAUGAUCACAAGUUGUAUGCUGUAUCAUGGAGAGACAACGGAAUAUAUUACAAAAUCCGAGGAAGUGUGGCUAUAACAGGUCUGUGAUGCCCUUAGAUGUUCAGGGCUGCACGCGCGCUACAAUGGUAGUGACAACGAGUUUCUGGAUCGAAAGAUUCGGGUAAUCUUAUAAUCACUACCGUGAUGGGGAUUGAUGUUUGUAAUUAUAUCAUGAAAGAGGAAUCCCUAGUACGUGCGAUUCAUUAGAUCGCGCGGAUUCAGUCCCUGCCCUUUGUACACACCGCCCGUCGCUACUACCGAGUGAAUGGUGUCAUAAUACCUUGGGAGCGGACAUCAUCGGGUUUCGGCCUAGAAUGAUGCUGCAAUCAGCGUAGAAUGGUGCGAUUCGAGAAGUUCGAGGAAGUAAAAGUCGUAACAAGGUUUCCGUAGGUGAACCAGCGGAAG
This 1982-nucleotide ribosomal RNA is filed under the name Henneguya sp. 3 PBS-2015. RNAcentral's name for it is "SSU rRNA". It matches the Rfam family "Eukaryotic small subunit ribosomal RNA". Lineage: Eukaryota; Metazoa; Cnidaria; Myxozoa; Bivalvulida; Myxobolidae. The record is from RNAcentral.